RNAcentral lists this ribosomal RNA (433 nucleotides) under uncultured bacterium. Its description in RNAcentral is "partial 16S ribosomal RNA". It matches the Rfam family "Bacterial small subunit ribosomal RNA", at positions 29 to 507 of the family's 1533-position model. The record is from RNAcentral.
AACGAACGCUGGCGGCAUGCCUAACACAUGCAAGUCGAACGAGACCUUCGGGUCUAGUGGCGCACGGGUGCGUAACGCGUGGGAACCUGCCCUUAGGUUCGGAAUAACUCCCCGAAGGGGGUGCUAAUACCGGAUAAUGUCUUCGGACCAACGAUUUAUCGCCUUUGGAUGGGCCCGCGUUGGAUUAGCUAGUUGGUAGGGUAAAAGCAUACCAAGGCGACGAUCCAUAGCUGGUCUGAGAGGAUGAUCAGCCACACUGGGACUGAGACACGGCCCAGACUCCUACGGGAAGCAGCAGUGGGGAAUAUUGGACAAUGGGCGAAAGCCUGAUCCAGCAAUGCCGCGUGAGUGAUGAAGGCCUUAGGGUUGUAAAGCUCUUUUACACGGGAUGAUAAUGACAGUACCGGGAGAAUAAGCUCCGGCUAACUACGUG